This 651-nucleotide long non-coding RNA is filed under the name Pogona vitticeps (central bearded dragon). Its description in RNAcentral is "lncRNA (ENSPVIG00000019209.1)". Lineage: Eukaryota; Metazoa; Chordata; Lepidosauria; Squamata; Agamidae. The record is from RNAcentral.
CGCCCGUGCGCCCGGCGCCGCUCCGCCUCUGCCAGCCAUGAGCGCAUCGAGGCAUGAUCUUGACGCGCAACUCCUUGGCAGGGGCGAGCGACCGUCUGGACUGGAGCGCGUCGGCGGGGGUGGGGGGGGAGGAGGAGAAGGAGCCGUGUGCACGAAAGGGGCGUGGCCUAGGGCGGGGCGGGGCAAUCCAUUCCACGCCCACCCCCCGUCCUCAAUAAAUAGGCGCCCGCAAAGACGCAGCUCAACUGCUAUCCGCACCCGUCCGAGCGAGCGCAUCACUGUUGCGGGAGAAGCCUCAACCAAGCAUGGAUGCCCAAGACUGUCCCUGCGCCAGCGGAGGUGCGUGCACCUGUGGCAAUAACUGUCAGUGUAAAAACUGCAAAUGCAAGACAUGUAAAAAAAGUUGCUGCUCCUGUUGCCCAGUCGGCUGCUCCAAGUGCGCCCAAGGGUGCGUCUGCAAGGGACCCCCCUCCACCAAAUGCAGCUGCUGCCAGUGAACCACCCCCUCUGCUCUCGGAGCAGGGACCUGUAUAUUUGCCUGCAACAGUGUAACUCUCGUGUCUUAUAUAUUUGUGUGUUUUCUAGCUUGUAGAAGUGCGACAAAAAAAGCUACUUUGAAAGUAAAUAAAGCUAUAUAUGUAUAUAUAAACA